GAUCUCAGAAUGAGCUGAAGAUCAGUGACCCAAGUGUGACAGGGUAAACUCCCAAGAAUGUCCAUUGAGAGCCUCAAACCAUGUGUCUCCUGGGAAGUGACCUGAGCAGAAGAAAGAGCCGAGAUAAAAGAAGGGGAAGAGAAACACAGAAGAGCUCCUCAGAGGACCACAUCAUGGGAACUGAGCCUCCUCAGAGCCUUGCUGCUUCUAAGAUCCAGGGAAUAUCUUGCCUUCCAGCCCAUGGAGGAAGGCCCAGCAAUGACAGAGCCCUAUAAGAAAAGAGUGCCAGUUGUAAAAGGUCUUAAUGUGCUGGAAGUCUGCCAUCCUCACCCUGAGAUCAGGGACGACCUGGACAGCAGCCUUUGCUGUGUGCAACUCCAGCCUAGCGCUCUGCGUCUUAUUCUUCUGUAGCAGCCUCCAGACCUCGAGAGAGAGAAGUAUUCAUUUGCUUCCAACCUGCCUCCCCCUGAGUAUCGACACUGCAUUGAACCCGGAGGGAAUCUCCCAAAGGCUGUCGUCUGCGUAGCCCCUGUGCUCAUCCUGGCCUACCCUUUCAUGACCUCCUCAAAAUGAGUUCUGUGUGUUUGUCCAGAAAAGAUUACAGAUCUGAGGGUGCAUCCAGGAAUUGGCUGGCACAGAGCUCCUGAUGGUCUGUCCCAGGACUUCAUUAAGCAUGGUUCCCAUUGCUAAGCAACAGAAGUGCUGGAACUGGCAUCAGUCAUCUGUCAUCCAGCAGCCCAGGUCAUAUGC
RNAcentral lists this long non-coding RNA (750 nucleotides) under Mus caroli (Ryukyu mouse). Its description in RNAcentral is "lncRNA (MGP_CAROLIEiJ_G0004976.1)". The record is from RNAcentral. Lineage: Eukaryota; Metazoa; Chordata; Mammalia; Rodentia; Muridae.